GAUGAACGCUGGCGGCGUGCCUAGUACAUGCAAGUCGAGCGAACGGACGAGAAGCUUGCUUCUCUGAUGUUAGCGGCGGACGGGUGAGUAACACGUGGAUAACCUACCUAUAAGACUGGGAUAACUUCGGGAAACCGUAGCUAAUACCGGAUAAUAUUUUGAACCGCAUGGUUCAAAAGUGAAAGACGGUCUUGCUGUCACUUAUAGAUGGAUCCGCGCUGCAUUAGCUAGUUGGUAAGGUAACGGCUUACCAAGGCAACGAUGCAUAGCCGACCUGAGAGGCUGAUCGGCCACACUGGAACUGAGACACGGUCCAGACUCCUACGGGAGGCAGCAGUAGGGAAUCUUCCGCAAUGGGCGAAAGCCUGACGGAGCAACGCCGCGUGAGUGAUGAAGGUCUUCGGAUCGUAAAACUCUGUUAUUAGGGAAGAACAUAUGUGUAAGUAACUGUGCACAUCUUGACGGUACCUAAUCAGAAAGCCACGGCUAACUACGUG
This 497-nucleotide ribosomal RNA is filed under the name uncultured bacterium. Its description in RNAcentral is "partial 16S ribosomal RNA". It matches the Rfam family "Bacterial small subunit ribosomal RNA", at positions 28 to 507 of the family's 1533-position model. The record is from RNAcentral.